RNAcentral lists this ribosomal RNA (401 nucleotides) under uncultured fungus. Its description in RNAcentral is "SSU rRNA". It matches the Rfam family "Eukaryotic small subunit ribosomal RNA", at positions 828 to 1228 of the family's 1831-position model. Lineage: Eukaryota; Fungi. The record is from RNAcentral.
GUCUGGUCCUAUUGUGUUGGCCUUUGGGACCAGAGUAAUGAUUAAUAGGGACUGUCGGGGGCAUUCGUAUUUCAUUGUCAGAGGUGAAAUUAUUGGAUUUAUGAAAGACAGACCAAUGUGAAAGCAUUUUCCAAGGAUGUUUUCAUUAAUCAAGAACGAAAGUUGGGGUCUCGAAGACGAUCAGAUACCGUCCUAGUCUCAACCAUAAACGAUGUCGACCAGGGAUCGGCGGAUGUUGCUCUAAGGACUCUGCCAGCACCUUCUGAGAAAUCAGAGUGUUUGGGUUCCGGGGGGAGUAUGGUCGCAAGGCUGAAACUUAAAGGAAUUGACAGAAAGGCACCACCAGGAGUGGAGCCUGCAGCUUAAUUUGACUCAACACGGGGAAACUCACCAGGUCCAGA